AAGCUCGUAGUUGAAUUUCGGGGUUAGUAGGUUGGUCAUGCCUCUGGUAUGUACUGGUCUCACUGAUUCCUCCUUCCUGAUGAACCGUAAUGCCAUUAAUUUGGUGCUGCGGGGAAUUUGGACUGUUACUUUGAAAAAAUUAGAGUGUUUAAAGCAAGCUAACGCUUGAAUACAUUAGCAUGGAAUAAUGAAAUAGGACGUUCGAUCCUAUUUUGUUGGUUUCUAGGAUUGACGUAAUGAUUAAUAGGGAUAGUUGGG
This 258-nucleotide ribosomal RNA is filed under the name uncultured Glomus. RNAcentral describes it as "partial 18S ribosomal RNA". It matches the Rfam family "Eukaryotic small subunit ribosomal RNA", at positions 624 to 886 of the family's 1831-position model. Lineage: Eukaryota; Fungi; Glomeromycota; Glomeromycetes; Glomerales; Glomeraceae. The record is from RNAcentral.